This 155-nucleotide ribosomal RNA is filed under the name Origanum majorana. RNAcentral's name for it is "5.8S ribosomal RNA". It matches the Rfam family "5.8S ribosomal RNA". From Rfam's summary of the family: 5.8S ribosomal RNA (5.8S rRNA) is a component of the large subunit of the eukaryotic ribosome. It is transcribed by RNA polymerase I as part of the 45S precursor that also contains 18S and 28S rRNA. Lineage: Eukaryota; Viridiplantae; Streptophyta; Magnoliopsida; Lamiales; Lamiaceae. The record is from RNAcentral.
CUCGGCAACGGAUAUCUCGGCUCUCGCAUCGAUGAAGAACGUAGCGAAAUGCGAUACUUAGUGUGAAUUGCAGAAUCCCGUGAACCAUCGAGUCUUUGAACGCAAGUUGCGCCCGAAGCCAUUAGGCUGAGGGCACGUCUGCCUGGGCGUCACGC